This 465-nucleotide ribosomal RNA is filed under the name Vreelandella stevensii. RNAcentral describes it as "partial 16S ribosomal RNA". It matches the Rfam family "Bacterial small subunit ribosomal RNA", at positions 338 to 795 of the family's 1533-position model. Lineage: Bacteria; Pseudomonadati; Pseudomonadota; Gammaproteobacteria; Oceanospirillales; Halomonadaceae. The record is from RNAcentral.
CCUACGGGAGGCAGCAGUGGGGAAUAUUGGACAAUGGGGGGAACCCUGAUCCAGCCAUGCCGCGUGUGUGAAGAAGGCCCUCGGGUUGUAAAGCACUUUCAGUGAGGAAGAACGCCUGGUGGUUAAUACCCAUCAGGAAAGACAUCACUCACAGAAGAAGCACCGGCUAACGCCGUGCCAGCAGCCGCGGUAAUACGGAGGGUGCGAGCGUUAAUCGGAAUUACUGGGCGUAAAGCGCGCGUAGGUGGCUUGAUAAGCCGGUUGUGAAAGCCCCGGGCUCAACCUGGGAACGGCAUCCGGAACUGUCAAGCUAGAGUGCAGGAGAGGAAGGUAGAAUUCCCGGUGUAGCGGUGAAAUGCGUAGAGAUCGGGAGGAAUACCAGUGGCGAAGGCGGCCUUCUGGACUGACACUGACACUGAGGUGCGAAAGCGUGGGUAGCAAACAGGAUUAGAUACCCUUGUAGUC